This 225-nucleotide ribosomal RNA is filed under the name Campylaspis rubicunda. Its description in RNAcentral is "partial 16S ribosomal RNA". The record is from RNAcentral. Lineage: Eukaryota; Metazoa; Arthropoda; Malacostraca; Cumacea; Nannastacidae.
GUCUUUUAAUUAAAGGCUUGAAUGAAGGGUCGGACAGGUAGAAGCUGUUUUUAUUAUUUAGGUGAAAUUGACGGCAAGUGAGAAUUCUUGGUUUUYACCCGGGGACGAUAAGACCCUGUAAAGUUUUGAGUUUUUUUUUGUGGGCAGCAGGGGUGUUAGURAGAGACUUUAGCUGGGACGGCUGGCCUAUUAGUGUGAAUCUAGGCUGAUUUUGACAUUUGUUUU